GAUAUGGCUCAGAUUGAACGCUGGCGGCAUGCUUUACACAUGCAAGUCGAACGGCAGCAUAGAGAGCUUGCUCCCUGAUGGCGAGUGGCGAACGGGUGAGUAAUACAUCGGAACGUGUCCUGUUGUGGGGGGUAACUACUCGAAAGAGUAGCUAAUACCGCAUAAGACCUAAGGGUGAAAGCGGGGGACCUUCGGGCCUCGCGCAGUUGGAGCGGCCGAUGACUGAUUAG
RNAcentral lists this ribosomal RNA (230 nucleotides) under uncultured bacterium. RNAcentral describes it as "partial 16S ribosomal RNA". It matches the Rfam family "Bacterial small subunit ribosomal RNA", at positions 15 to 244 of the family's 1533-position model. The record is from RNAcentral.